AUUAAUGUAGCUAACCUUAAUCAAAACAUACUACAGAGGUAGCUAGUGGAGUGACAGGAAUAAGGUAUCAACACCAACGAGCACUUACUGUCCAUAGUAAUAAGGGGCCGAAUCUGACAUGUCCUCCCAACCUGCUCCCAUGAUUUUUGCCUCUCCAAACAAAGUGGUGUCAGAAGCAGGACACCCCUCCUAAUUAUUGAGCUGAAGUGUUUCAGCCACAUCCAUUGAAUACAGAUGCAUAAAAUCAAUCAUUUAGACAUGCCAUAUCCAUAAACAAAUACUGGCAUUGGAAUGGGUCAUACUGAAGAGCUCAGUGACUUUAAGCAUGGCAUUGUAAUAGGAUGCCACCUUUGCCAUAAGUCAGUUCGUGAAAUUUCUACCCUGUUAGAUCUGCCCAAAUCAACUGUAAGUGCUGUUAUUGUGAGAUGGAAACAUCUAGGAGCAACAACACCUCAGCCACGAAAUGGUAGACCACGGAAACUCACAGAGUGGGGCCCCAGAUUGCUGAAGCAAGUAAAAAUCCCCUGUCAUCUGUUGCAUCACUCACUACAGAGUUACGAACCUUUUCUGGAAGUAACAUCAGCACAAGGACUAUGCGUUGGGAGCUUCAUGAAAUGGGUUUACGUGGGCGAGCAGCUGCACACAACCUUAACAUCACUAUGCGCAAUGCCAAGUGUCGACUGGAGUGGUGUAAAGCACGCCACCAUUGCACUCUGGAGAAGUAGAAACGUGUUCUCUGGAGUGGUGAAUCACGCUUCACUAUUUGGCAGACUGAUGGGCAAAUCUGUGUUUGGCGGAUGCCAGGAGAACGCUCCCGAUCAGAAUAUGUAGUGCCAGCAGUAAAGUUUGGUGGCCAACGGAUAAUGGUGUGGGACUGUUAUUCAGGUCUUGGGCUAGGCCCCUUGGUUCCAGUGAAAGGUAAUGUUAAUUCUAGGGCAUACGAAGACAUUUUAGACAAUUAUGUGCUUCCAACUUUGUGGCAGCAGUUUGGAGAAGGUCCUUUCCUAUUCCAGCAUGGCUAUGCCCUUGUGCAGAAGGCAAGGUCCAUAAAGACAUGGUUUGAUGAGUUUGGUGUCGAGGAACUACAGUGACCUGCACAGAGCCCUGACCUAAAUCUAGUUGAACACCUUUGGGAUGAAUUGGAAUACCGAUUACAAUCUAAGACCCCUUGUCCAGUGUCAGUGCCUGACCUCACAAGUGCUCUUUUGACUGAGUGGGCUCAGAUUCCCACAGACACACUCCAAAACCUUGUGGAAAGCCUUCCUCAAAGAAUAGAGGCUGUUAUAGCAGCAAAGGGGGGACCAGCUCCUUAUUAAUGCCUGGGGUUUUGGAAAGGAAUGUCCAACAAACGUAUAUACAUGUGGUGUUAACAUGCUUUUGGCCAUAUAAUGCAUAACAGGAUAUGGGAUCCAGCAAGGUUUUUGUUCUCCAAAAGAUCUUUCAUGUGUUCUCGUUUGUAUUGAAAAUGGAUUACCCCUUAUUCUCUUCAUUAUUUAUUCAUUAUUAUUAUUAUUAUUCAUUUUAAGUAUCAUUACAUGCUUAUUGUAAACAAAAUUGUUAACCACUUCUAAUUUUGUUUACUGGCAAUCUUAUGAAUCUGACUAAUAUAUUUUGUCUAGUUGGUAAAUAGACAAAAUAUAUUAGUCAGAUUUAGUAAUCUAUCUUUAAAUUUAAAGUAGGAAAGGAAUUAAAGUGACUGUUCACUUUGCAUGUUCUAUGUGUUUGAUACAUCAUUGGACAAUGAGGUAUAAAAUAGUUUUAACUUUGUUCAGGGUGAGCCUCCUUAAAGGAGUGCACCCCCCAAAAAACAUUAUUUUUUGUAUUAAUUAAAUGUAUGAAUAUGCAUAAGUCCUGAACAAACACGUCCCCUCCAUUGGCAUGUACAGGAUUUCUUUUUAAAAAGGGAUGUUGAUAGUUUUGUGGCUGGGUCUGGAAGAACAAGCAAAGCUUAUGCAAGAAGAAACUUAAGGUUUUUUUUUGUUUGUUUGUUUUUUUUUUGUCUUUAGAGAGACCAAGCCAUUUGCUUGUUGCAUUUCAUUUUCUUAUCUUUUAGUGCAUGUUCUUUGUCAGAAUUUGCACAUCACAACCUUUUCAUGACCUAUAUUUUGACCAAGUGAAUCUGUUUUAGUUUGUGCCGAUAGAGAUGGAGGUUUUGUCCUGUAGCUGUCAAUCAGUCAGUUACAGAAUCUUCAGCAAAGACAAAAAUAGCCUACAGAACCUACUGGUUCCAAGAUUCCCACUAUGUUCUCUUCUGGAAAGACCUACAUGCAACUGCAGCUAGCUCUCUGAUGGAGCCAGCUUCAGGAAUCAAGUCCAGUGGUUAUGGAACAGCAGGGUUGUUUCAUUGUCCAUUGGCCCCACGUUGCUUGUAGAGGCUUGUGAACCAGCAAAUUGAUAGAAAGGGGAUUCUUCUCUACCUGCCCAGCCAGUAUGACCUGGUUGAACCCAUUGAACCUAUUAUCACCUACAUCAUGAGUUGGCAGGGUUAGGUUACUGCAAUUUCUAUGCAUCAGCAUUGGACUAAGUAAUUUCUUUCACUCAUUUUCUAAGUAUCCUAUGGUUCUUCUCACAGGUUACUUUUUUCUUUCUUUUCCCAUCUUUAUUUGUUUUAACUAUGAUCAGUCACCCAUGAAUCUUGUUUGGUUACUUUUGUUAAUUUUUUGCUAUAGCUCCAUUUUAUUGAAUUCGAUACAUCAGGUCAUCGGUCAUGAUCUGUAAGCAAGAUUCUCUAACUACUGCUAAAUGUAGCAUAAGAAUUUUCUGGCAGAAAAAAAUCCAAAUUUGGACAAACAUUACAAGCAAUGUGAACUGUUUAGAAAGAAAUUACCAUAUCAUUGGGCAAAUUAACUGAAACCAGAACCUUAAUAAAGAUCAUUCCUAUACAAAAUGCCAAA
This is a non-coding RNA of Electrophorus electricus (electric eel), 2894 nucleotides long. NCBI's taxonomy places the organism in Eukaryota, Metazoa, Chordata, Actinopteri, Gymnotiformes, Gymnotidae. The record is from RefSeq and is a predicted model, not a curated record.